RNAcentral lists this ribosomal RNA (497 nucleotides) under uncultured bacterium. Its description in RNAcentral is "partial 16S ribosomal RNA". It matches the Rfam family "Bacterial small subunit ribosomal RNA", at positions 28 to 507 of the family's 1533-position model. The record is from RNAcentral.
GAUGAACGCUGGCGGCGUGCCUAAUACAUGCAAGUCGAGCGAACAGACGAGGAGCUUGCUCCUCUGACGUUAGCGGCGGACGGGUGAGUAACACGUGGAUAACCUCCCUAUAAGACUGGGAUAACUUCGGGAAACCGGAGCUAAUACCGGAUAACAUCUUGAACCGCAUGGUUCAACAGUGAAAGACGGUUUUGCUGUCACUUAUAGAUGGAUCCGCGUCGCAUUAGCUAGUUGGUAAGGUAACGGCUUACCAAGGCAACGAUGCGUAGCCGACCUGAGAGGGUGAUCGGCCACACUGGAACUGAGACACGGUCCAGACUCCUACGGGAGGCAGCAGUAGGGAAUCUUCCGCAAUGGGCGAAAGCCUGACGGAGCAACGCCGCGUGAGUGAAGAAGGUCUUCGGAUCGUAAAACUCUGUUAUUAGGGAAGAACAAAUGUGUAAGUAACUAUGCACGUCUUGACGGUACCUAAUCAGAAAGCCACGGCUAACUACGUG